UCUAGAAGAAUGGGACUUGAACCCACACCUAAGACUCCAAAAUCCUUCGUACUACCACUAUACUAUCCCCUA
Molecule: transfer RNA, 72 nt
Filed under: Podarcis lilfordi (Lilford's wall lizard)
Lineage: Eukaryota; Metazoa; Chordata; Lepidosauria; Squamata; Lacertidae
Description: tRNA-Gln
Source: RNAcentral